RNAcentral lists this ribosomal RNA (265 nucleotides) under uncultured bacterium. RNAcentral's name for it is "partial 16S ribosomal RNA". It matches the Rfam family "Bacterial small subunit ribosomal RNA", at positions 793 to 1055 of the family's 1533-position model. The record is from RNAcentral.
GUCCACGCUGUAAACGAUGGAUACUAGGUGCUGUGGGUAUUGACCCCUACAGUGCCGCAGCUAACGCAAUAAGUAUCCCGCCUGGGAAGUACGGCCGCAAGGCUAAAACUCAAAGGAAUUGACGGGGGCCCGCACAAGCGGUGGAGCAUGUGGUUCAAUUCGACGCAACGCGAAGAACCUUACCUGGGCUUGACAUUGAUGGAAUCCUGCAGAGAUGCGGGAGUACUCUUCGGAGACCUGAAAACAGGUGCUGCAUGGCUGUCGU